RNAcentral lists this ribosomal RNA (449 nucleotides) under uncultured bacterium. Its description in RNAcentral is "partial 16S ribosomal RNA". It matches the Rfam family "Bacterial small subunit ribosomal RNA", at positions 29 to 523 of the family's 1533-position model. The record is from RNAcentral.
AACGAACGCUGGCGGCAUGCCUAACACAUGCAAGUCGAACGAGACCUUCGGGUCUAGUGGCGCACGGGUGCGUAACGCGUGGGAAUCUGCCCUUGGGUUCGGAAUAACAGUGAGAAAUUACUGCUAAUACCGGAUGAUGUCUUCGGACCAAAGAUUUAUCGCCCAGGGAUGAGCCCGCGUAGGAUUAGGUAGUUGGUGGGGUAAUGGCCUACCAAGCCGACGAUCCUUAGCUGGUCUGAGAGGAUGAUCAGCCACACUGGGACUGAGACACGGCCCAGACUCCUACGGGAGGCAGCAGUGGGGAAUAUUGGACAAUGGGCGAAAGCCUGAUCCAGCAAUGCCGCGUGAGUGAUGGAGGCCUUAGGGUUGUAAAGCUCUUUUACCAGGGAUGAUAAUGACAGUACCUGGAGAAUAAGCUCCGGCUAACUCCGUGCCAGCCGCCGCCGUAA